RNAcentral lists this ribosomal RNA (231 nucleotides) under uncultured bacterium. RNAcentral describes it as "partial 16S ribosomal RNA". It matches the Rfam family "Bacterial small subunit ribosomal RNA", at positions 15 to 240 of the family's 1533-position model. The record is from RNAcentral.
GAUCCUGGCUCAGGAUGAACGCUAGCGACAGGCUUAACACAUGCAAGUCGAGGGGCAGCGAGGGCGUAGCAAUACGCCUGUCGGCGACCGGCGCACUGGUGAGUAACACGUAUGCGACCUGCCCCCUACAGGGGUAUAACCCGUAGAAAUGCGGACUAAUCCCCCAUAGUCCUGAGUGCUGCAUGGCAUUCAGGGGAAAGGCCAGCCGGUAGGGGAUGGGCAUGCGGCGCA